GAUGAACGCUAGCUACAGGCUUAACACAUGCAAGUCGCGGGGCAGCAUGAAUUUAGCUUGCUAAAUUUGAUGGCGACCGGCGCACGGGUGAGUAACGCGUAUCCAACCUUCCCCUGUCCACGGGAUAGCCCGUCGAAAGGCGGAUUAAUACCGUAUGAGGUCACACGAUGGCAUCAGACUGUGACGAAAGGUUUGGCGGACAGGGAUGGGGAUGCGUCCGAUUAGGUAGUCGGCGGGGUAACGGCCCACCGAGCCGACGAUCGGUAGGGGUUCUGAGAGGAUGAACGGCCACAUUGGGACUGAGACACGGCCCAGACUCCUACGGGAGGCAGCAGUGGGGAAUCUUCCGCAAUGGACGAAAGUCUGACGGAGCAACGCCGCGUGAACGAUGACGGCCUUCGGGUUGUAAAGUUCUGUUAUACGGGACGAAAGGCGUAGUGGUCAAUACCCGUUACGAGUGACGGUACCGUAAGAGAAAGCCACGGCUAACUACGUG
This 496-nucleotide ribosomal RNA is filed under the name uncultured bacterium. RNAcentral's name for it is "bacterial SSU rRNA". It matches the Rfam family "Bacterial small subunit ribosomal RNA", at positions 28 to 507 of the family's 1533-position model. The record is from RNAcentral.